Molecule: non-coding RNA, 50 nt
Filed under: unclassified sequences
Description: eL15-Euryarchaeota ribosomal protein leader
Rfam family: eL15-Euryarchaeota ribosomal protein leader
Source: RNAcentral
CCCGGUACGCCGGGACGAAAUGUGGUCGGCUCGACCGACUGAAUCGCAAG